Passer domesticus (house sparrow) is the source of this 4717-nucleotide long non-coding RNA. RefSeq lists it as uncharacterized. The transcript has 2 exons. The record is from RefSeq and is a predicted model, not a curated record. Lineage: Eukaryota; Metazoa; Chordata; Aves; Passeriformes; Passeridae.
GGCGAGCUUCUCGGCCAGCUCCCGCCAGCGCUGGGCCACCUCCACGGCCGUGGUCAGCAGCACGAAGUCCUGGAUCAGCCUCACCACCAGCCCCUGGCAGUCCAUCUUCAGCAGGGCCUGCGGGACACGGGGAAAAGCAAGCAGGGAGUCAAGGCCGGGGGUGGGCGGGUGAGCUCCCCCGGGAGCAUCCCAAAAAUCCUCCUGCCUCCUUUUUAGUGACAGCUGGGGAAAUGAGGCCAGCAGGCUUGGUAAGAGAAUAAUCUCAUUAAUUGAACAAAGUGCCAGACCCCUCUGGAUGGGGUUUGCAGCCUCAUUCUGCAGGCAGCCCCUCCCGAGAUGUCCAGGCCCCACCUUAAGCAGUUUAAAGCAUCCCAGGGGCUGAGGACAACAGGACAACAGAUGCUUUUAAUCCAGAGAACUAAUCCAGACUCCACCCCAGAGCUGCAGGAUCCUUCAGAGCAGUGGGCAAGGCACAGCCAGGACGUUCUGAGAUGGGCCCUGUGCAGGGCUGGACUGGGGUGAGACCCAGGUGAAGACUCCAAUACUACAGGACCAUUACUCAGCCCGGGAUGUUCUUUCUCUUCUCCUCCUCUUCCUGCAACAUUUAUUGUCCUAAAAGCUGAGAUUUUCCACAAACAGUUUUGAAGUGGAAAGAGCAAAUGCAUCAGUCUGGGUUUUCUAGGUAGGAAUGACUUAGCCAGGCAAAAAAGGAUGGAGUGGAGUUAGCUCCUGCCUUAAAGUGUCAAAUCCCAUUAAAGUCCCCUCAGAGUGGGAUGAAGCUGCAGUAGGGGAGAAGCCCCGGUGCAGCCCUGGAAAAGGAAGGGUUUAAUGGCAGUGUUCAGUUUCAGAGGAUGGGAUCUGACUGCCAGGAUCAUCAUCCCACUCUCCAGGGCUCCCACAGCCUUUGAAGCACAACAGCCCCAGCAGCAGCAACCCCAGACCUUGUGCAAAUCCCAAGCUGAACCUCAGGAGGGGCUCUGAUGUUAUUAAAAAUUAAAAUCAAGCCGACAGACCCCACCCACUCCUUCACAGCAGCACGGGGAUGAUUCUUAUGGAAAUCAUAAGGAUAAGGUGGUUCCUAAAGUGGCCAGAAUCCCCUUUCUGCCCCUCUGGGUCCUGACACCCCCUCCCAACACAGGGGUCUGGGGAAAUCCAGGUUUCGCUCUGGGGUAAAGAAGGGUUAAAUCCUCCCAGUGGAGACUGCAAGGGGACAGUUGGGGGAGGGAAGAUGGGAACAUCUGAAACCACUCCAGCGAUUUGCAAAGCAAAUGCACGUUGAUUUCCCCCUUAUCUGCUCCCAGCUUAAAGCUGAGCUGGGUUCUAAUCGCAGCUGCAGCCCAGCACGUGCCUGCUCCUCCAAAGUGCUGACACCGGCUUCCUGUGGGAGCCAGGGAGGCCAUAAACCCCCUUGUCCAACAAGCAAGGAAAAUCCAUCCAAAGGAGCCCUCGUUUGGUUUGGCAAAAAGGCACGCAGAGGCAUUUAGAUCACACACACCUGCGCCAGAACCGAACCACCUCCUUCCUACAGCCCACGGAGCAGCUCCCCUCUGGAUCCUCCAUCCCCUCAGGAUCCUGCUCCCUCUUUGGAUUCAGCUCCCUCUCUGGAUCCUCCACCCUCUCUGAAUCCAGCUCCCUCUCUGAAUCCAGCUACCUCUCUGGAUCCUCCACCCUCUGGAUCCAGCUCCCCCUCUGGAUCCUCCACCCUCUCUGGAUCCAGCUCCCUCUUUGCAUCCAGCUUCCUCUCUGGAUCCAGCUCCCCCUCUGGAUCCUCCAUUUCUCUGGACCCAGCUCCCUCUCUGCAGGAUCCCAAGGAAGGGGCAGACUGAACAUCCCCAGGCCUGCCUUUCCAGGCAGCUGGAUCCCCAUCCCGUGCACAAGAGGCAGUGCCUGGAGCUGGGUUAAGAAGGAUGGAGCUGCAGGAGAUGGAUUCCCUGCUCCUUCUGCUGCUCCAGGUGAACAACAAAACAGCAGCAAGGAAAACACCCGGGAGGGCACCUCAUCAAAGAGCUGCAAAAUCACUCAGAACAACUCUGGGAGAGAUGGAUGGGUCUGGGUAACUCCGAGACCUACUGAUGGCCGCAGCACCAGCUGCUGUGCCCUGGCAGAGGUGACAAGAUAGGGGACAGCAUCAAGCCACGUGAGGAUGGGCUGCAAGGCAUCACAGACGCCGAGGUGGCAGCCAGAGGGGGAAUAUUACUGGAAACGGCGGCGAGACACUGGGAUUAGCUCAGCAGACUUAAUCCUCCAGUGGGAUUAUGCCACAAUUUUUUCCGUCCUCCUCCCUUGCCCUGGACAAGCCUCCCAGGAUAUCUGGGUCCACUCAGUGUCUCCAUCCCUCAUCAGCCAGGUGUGACCUGGGCUUUGCCAGAGCCCUUGGAAAUGUUUAUUAUUUAUUAUUUAUUCCCCUGGGAGCAGCGGGAACCGGCUCUGCCAGCCCAGCAAAGAGGGUGUUUGAUAUUCAAAUCCCAGUUCAAAGCAGAAACACCUCAACUUAAAAGGCAUCCAGGGGAGGCUGAAUUUACAUCCCAGCUUUGAAAUGCAGAAUCCCAUUUCCUAAUGAAGGAAAGCAGCAUUGUGGAGGAAAACAGCUCCCCCCUGGGACUUCCUCAAACACAGGGGGUAAAGGCCCUGUGUCCCCAAGGAAACCAAGAGAGCCACGGGGUGAGAGGAUGCUCCUGCACAGGCUCCUGGCUCAUCAUCCUCUCUAGGAUACAGGCUCAAUCUAAUUUCUCCAUAGGCUAAGGAGGAUUUGACGGCAGCCAGGGGUUUUGGAAGCAGCAUCAUGCUCCACCAAGAAGGGAGCUCAUCCCUUAUCCGCAGGCUCAGCCUCACAGAGAGCAGGAUUAGAGAAACAAGGAGAAUAAAACCUGCCCUGGGACUCUGCUCUCCUGACAGCCACAGGGGAGCAGGAUGUUUUCCUACAGCUCCCAGCCCUCCCCUUGAGUCAGCAGCUCCCUGAGCCUUAUCUUUCCCUUUGUCUCCCUGUGAGGAUUCUCCAUGACCUACAGACUGCCUGGGAGUCCUGAAAACAAUGGGGAGAGAUAAAAGCAACACCUACAGGGUUUGCAAACAGGUAAAGCAAACAGUCCCGGAAGCAUCGAGCAAGAGCAGCAUGGAUUUCAUCCAAACAAUCAUUGAGCCUGAUUAUUAAAGGAGUAAACCCUCCCUUGGGGGAAACAGGGGGGCCAGAGGGAAGAUUUUCCAAUCCUGGAUCAGGAAAGGUCACUGAUGGCUAGGAGAGCCCGGCAACAGAAGCAGCGUUGGUGGCACGACCUGAAAGCUGAAAGUCAAAGCUGAAACAUCGCCCCACAGGACCCAGAGCGGUAACCGGGCACAGGGAACUCUCCAGACAACAUUUCCAUGAAUAACAACGGAUUCCAUACUCUUCACAACACCUUCUACUCAAUCCUUAAAUUCCCUCCUUCUCCCUAAAAGGACUGUGGGAACUGAGCUCCUCCAUUCAGCUCCAGUCCCCUUUUGCCGUAAUUACAUUUUGCCAAGCAAGGCCGCCGCUAUUCCUUAAUCCAAUUGACAUUUUAAACCAUGCUCUUCUCCAUAACUCAGUUAUUCUGCUCCUGUGGGACAGCACAGAACGGGAGAGAGCUGCAAAUCUCUCCCAGACAUUUUGCCCUGUAUUUUCUUUGGCUCACUUCCUAUGAAAUGCUAGAAAUUAUUGUGGAGAUGAUAUUUUGUGAGGGAUUUACUUGCUAACAGCCUCCUAGAAAUACUGGCAGGCAGUGCUCCUCCCAAAUUCCUUCCAGGACAUGGAGCAAGUCACACAUUUCCAUUUGUAAUGUAUAAAACAUCCCAGCUCAGAGGUGCCACUCAAAAAAAAGGCUCCCCAUCCCUGAAAGUGUUCCAGGCCAAGCUGCACAGGGCUUGGAGUGACCCAGGACAGUGGAAGGUGUCCCUGCCCAUGGCAGGGGUGGGACUGGAUGAGCUUUGAUAUUUCUUUGAACCCAAGCUAUUGUGUGAUUCUGGAAUUCCAAGCAACUGAGUGCAUCCCUCAUUAUAGCCAUGAUUCUGCUAAACCAAGAUCCCACCCACCACAGGGCUGGACUCCCACCUGGCAGCGCCCAGCAGUCUUCAAGGUGGACUUCACUCUCUAAAGACUGAAUUAAGAAACUGCCACCUCCCCUGAUGCCUCUGCAGAGCCAGGAACUAAGCCCCCCUCCGCCAGGCCUCAGACUCACCGUCAUCAGCUCCUUCUGGAAGGAUUUCCUCUCCUUGUUCUCCACGCUGUUGCAGUCCUCCUUCAGCUUCUCCAGGACGGAGGCCACUCGCUCUGGCUCGCUGUCCAUCUCCGCCCGGCAGAAGAACGUGAGCGGCAAGUUCAGGUAGCCCAGGGCGUCGGCGAAGGAGCGCCAGCUGCUGAGGUUCUCCAUCAGCAGAGUCCUCACCGAGGCGUAGAUGUAGGUCAGGAACUUGCAGGGCCUCAGGAUCUGCUCCAGCAGCAGGCUGGUGGUGAGAUCCGGCCCGGAGAAGUAGCUGGGUUUGACCUUCCCGACCACCAGCACGUUUUUGGUGUGCACAAGGCCGACUUUCCCCUGGUAGUAGCCAAUGUACCACUCCUUGGUCCACAGCUGGCCUUUCAACCUGAUCUUCUCCUCACUGAGGAGGGCUAUGACGUCUCCCUUCUUGUAUUCCAGCAAAUAGUGGUUCUUGCUCUGCCUCACCACCGUCUUCAGCAGCUUCCCGUACUUCAGGCUCAACACCG